GAUGAACGCUGGCGGCGUGCCUAAUACAUGCAAGUCGAGCGAAUGGAUUGAGAGCUUGCUCUUAUGAAGUUAGCGGCGGACGGGUGAGUAACACGUGGGUAACCUGCCCAUAAGACUGGGAUAACUCCGGGAAACCGGGGCUAAUACCGGAUAACAUUUUGAACCGCAUGGUUCGGAAUUGAAAGGCGGCUUCGGCUGUCACUUAUGGAUGGACCCGCGUCGCAUUAGCUAGUUGGUGAGGUAACGGCUCACCAAAGCAAGGAUGCGUAGCCGACCUGGAAGGGUGAUCGGCCACACUGGGACUGAGAAACGGCCCAGACUCCUACGGGAGGCAGCAGUAGGGAAUCUUCCGGAAUGGACGAAAGUCUGACGGAGCAACGCCGCGUGAGUGAUGAAGGCUUUCGGGUCGUAAAACUCUGUUGUUAGGGAAGAACAAGUGCUAGUUGAAUAAGCUGGCACCUUGACGGUACCUAACCAGAAAGCCACGGCUAACUACGUGCCAGCCGCCGCCGUAA
Molecule: ribosomal RNA, 515 nt
Filed under: uncultured bacterium
Lineage: Bacteria
Description: partial 16S ribosomal RNA
Rfam family: Bacterial small subunit ribosomal RNA
Source: RNAcentral